AACGAACGCUGGCGGCAUGCCUAACACAUGCAAGUCGAACGAGACCUUCGGGUCUAGUGGCGCACGGGUGCGUAACGCGUGGGAACCUGCCUUUAGGUUCGGAAUAACUCAGAGAAAUUUGAGCUAAUACCGGAUGAUGUCUUCGGACCAAAGAUUUAUCGCCUUUAGAUGGGCCCGCGUUGGAUUAGCUAGUUGGUGGGGUAAAGGCCUACCAAGGCGACGAUCCAUAGCUGGUCUGAGAGGAUGAUCAGCCACACUGGGACUGAGACACGGCCCAGACUCCUCCGGGAGGCGGAAGGGGGGAAUAUUGGACAAGGGGGGAAAGCCUGAUCCACCAAUGCCGGGGGAGUAAUGAAGCCCUGGGGGUUGAAAAGCUUUUUUACCCGAGAUGAUAAUGACAGUAGCGGGAGAAAAAGCCCCGGCUAACCCCGGG
RNAcentral lists this ribosomal RNA (433 nucleotides) under uncultured bacterium. Its description in RNAcentral is "partial 16S ribosomal RNA". It matches the Rfam family "Bacterial small subunit ribosomal RNA", at positions 29 to 507 of the family's 1533-position model. The record is from RNAcentral.